UUAAUACAUGCAAGUCGAGGGGCAGCACGGUUAGCAAUAACUGGUGGCGACCGGCGCACGGGUGCGUAACACGUAUACAAUCUACCUUAAACAGGGGGAUAGCCUUUCGAAAGAGAGAUUAAUACCCCGUAAUAAAUUGAACGGCAUCGUUUGAUUUUGAAAGCUCCGGGCGGUUUGAGAUGAGUAUGCGUCUGAUUAGCUAGUUGGUGAGGUAACGGCUCACCAAGGCGACGAUCAGUAGGGGACCUGAGAGGACUAACCCCCACACUGGUACUGAGACACGGACCAGACUCCUACGGGAGGCAGCAGUAAGGAAUAUUGGUCAAUGGAGGCAACUCUGAACCAGCCAUGCCGCGUGCAGGAUGACGGCCCUAUGGGUUGUAAACUGCUUUUAUACAAGAGAAAACCCUGGUACGUGUACCAAGUUGAUAGUAUUGUAAGAAUAAGCAUCGGCUAACUUCGUG
Molecule: ribosomal RNA, 464 nt
Filed under: uncultured bacterium
Lineage: Bacteria
Description: bacterial SSU rRNA
Rfam family: Bacterial small subunit ribosomal RNA
Source: RNAcentral